GACAGAGGGUGCAAACGUUGUUCGGAAUUACUGGGCGUAAAGCGCGUGUAGGCGGCUCGGAAAGUCGGAUGUGAAAUCCCUCGGCUCAACCAAGGAAGUGCAUCCGAAACUGCUGAGCUUGAGUACGAAAGAGGAUCGCGGAAUUCCCGGUGUAGAGGUGAAAUUCGUAGAUAUCGGGAGGAACACCAGUGGCGAAGGCGGCGAUCUGGGUCGAUACUGACGCUGAGGUGCGAAAGCGUGGGGAGCAAACAGG
This 253-nucleotide ribosomal RNA is filed under the name uncultured bacterium. Its description in RNAcentral is "partial 16S ribosomal RNA". It matches the Rfam family "Bacterial small subunit ribosomal RNA", at positions 524 to 776 of the family's 1533-position model. The record is from RNAcentral.